GAUUAACGCUGGCGGCGUGCAUAACACAUGCAAGUCGAACGAUGAAACUUAGUAGACUUCUUCGGAAAGACAUUAAGCGGAUUAGUGGCGAACGGGUGAGUAACGCGUGAGUAACCUGCCUUACACAAGGGGAUAGCCUUUGGAAACGAAGAAUAAUACCCUAUAAAACCAUAAAAGCACAUGCUAGAACGGUCAAAGUGAUAGCGGUGUAAGAUGGACUUGCGUCUGAUUAGCUAGUUGGUGAGGUAAAAGCUCACCAAGGCAACGAUCAGUAGCCGGCUUGAGAGAGUGUACGGCCACAUUGGGACUGAGACACGGCCCAGACUCCUACGGGAGGCAGCAGUGGGGAAUUUUGCACAAUGGGGGAAACCCUGAUGCAGCGACGCCGCGUGAUUUAGAAGGCCUUCGGGUUGUAAAAAUCUUUUGUAUAGGAAGAAAAUGACAGUACUAUACGAAUAAGGUCCGGCUAAUUACGUG
Molecule: ribosomal RNA, 477 nt
Filed under: uncultured bacterium
Lineage: Bacteria
Description: partial 16S ribosomal RNA
Rfam family: Bacterial small subunit ribosomal RNA
Source: RNAcentral